Molecule: non-coding RNA, 116 nt
Organism: Haemophilus sputorum HK 2154
Lineage: Bacteria; Pseudomonadati; Pseudomonadota; Gammaproteobacteria; Pasteurellales; Pasteurellaceae
Source: Rfam
AUUGAUAACCAUAGUGCAGUAGUUCUACCUGACUCCAUACCGAACUCAGAAGUAAAAUGCUGUAACGCCGAUGGUAGUGUGGGGCUUCCCCAUGUGAGAGUAGGGCAUUAUCAAUC